Molecule: ribosomal RNA, 465 nt
Filed under: uncultured Klebsiella sp.
Lineage: Bacteria; Pseudomonadati; Pseudomonadota; Gammaproteobacteria; Enterobacterales; Enterobacteriaceae
Description: bacterial SSU rRNA
Rfam family: Bacterial small subunit ribosomal RNA
Source: RNAcentral
CCUACGGGCGGCUGCAGUGGGGAAUAUUGCACAAUGGGCGCAAGCCUGAUGCAGCCAUGCCGCGUGUGUGAAGAAGGCCUUCGGGUUGUAAAGCACUUUCAGCGGGGAGGAAGGCGGUGAGGUUAAUAACCUCAUCGAUUGACGUUACCCGCAGAAGAAGCACCGGCUAACUCCGUGCCAGCAGCCGCGGUAAUACGGAGGGUGCAAGCAUUAAUCGGAAUCACUGGGCGUAAAGCGCACGCAGGCGGUCUGUCAAGUCGGAUGUGAAAUCCCCGGGCUCAACCUGGGAACUGCAUUCGAGACUGGCAGGCUAGAGUCUUGUAGAGGGGGGUAGAAUUCCAGGUGUAGCGGUGAAAUGCGUAGAGAUCUGGAGGAAUACCGGUGGCGAAGGCGGCCCCCUGGACAAAGACUGACGCUCAGGUGCGAAAGCGUGGGGAGCAAACAGGAUUAGAUACCCCGGUAGUC